UAGUGACAGAUAAAUGUAUUAAAUUUAAGAUUUGAAUAUGAAAUUUUUUCCUUUAGAA
RNAcentral lists this transfer RNA (58 nucleotides) under Syringilla humerosa. RNAcentral describes it as "tRNA-Leu". The record is from RNAcentral. Lineage: Eukaryota; Metazoa; Arthropoda; Insecta; Hemiptera; Liviidae.